CGGAGGGUGCAAGCGUUAUCCGGAUUUACUGGGUUUAAAGGGUGCGUAGGCGGGCCUUUAAGUCAGUGGUGAAAGCUCCGAGCUUAACUCGGAAACUGCCAUUGAUACUAUUGGUCUUGAAUUCGGUCGAGGUUGGCGGAAUGUGUCGUGUAGCGGUGAAAUGCUUAGAUAUGACACAGAACACCGAUUGCGAAGGCAGCUAGCUAGACCGACAUUGACGCUGAGGCACGAAAGCGUGGGGAUCAAACAGGAUUAGAAACCCUGGUAGUCCACGCCCUAAACUAUGAUUACUCGAUGUUGGCGAUACACUGCCAGCGUCUAAGCGAAAGCAUUAAGUAAUCCACCUGGGGAGUACGAUCGCAAGAUUG
RNAcentral lists this ribosomal RNA (368 nucleotides) under uncultured organism. Its description in RNAcentral is "bacterial SSU rRNA". It matches the Rfam family "Bacterial small subunit ribosomal RNA", at positions 526 to 896 of the family's 1533-position model. The record is from RNAcentral.